RNAcentral lists this ribosomal RNA (915 nucleotides) under uncultured Nitrospirota bacterium. RNAcentral's name for it is "bacterial SSU rRNA". It matches the Rfam family "Bacterial small subunit ribosomal RNA", at positions 8 to 918 of the family's 1533-position model. Lineage: Bacteria; Pseudomonadati; Nitrospirota. The record is from RNAcentral.
AGAGUUUGAUUAUGGCUCAGAACGAACGCUGGCGGCGCGCCUAAUACAUGCAAGUCGAGCGAGAAGACGUAGCAAUACGUUUGUAAAGCGGCGAACGGGUGAGGAAUACAUGGGUAACCUACCCUCGAGUGGGGAAUAACUAGCCGAAAGGUUAGCUAAUACCGCGUACGCUUCUUGGACUUCGGUUCAGGGAGGAAAGCGAUACCGUGGGUAUCGCGCUCUUGGAUGGGCUCAUGUCCUAUCAGCUUGUUGGUGAGGUAACGGCUCACCAAGGCUUCGACGGGUAGCUGGUCUGAGAGGACGAUCAGCCACACUGGCACUGCGACACGGGCCAGACUCCUACGGGAGGCAGCAGUAAGGAAUAUUGCGCAAUGGGCGAAAGCCUGACGCAGCGACGCCGCGUGGGGGAUGAAGGUCUUCGGAUUGUAAACCCCUUUCGGGAGGGAAGAUGGAAUGGGGUAACCCAUUCGGACGGUACCUCCAGAAGCAGCCACGGCUAACUUCGUGCCAGCAGCCGCGGUAAUACGAAGGUGGCAAGCGUUGUUCGGAUUUACUGGGCGUACAGGGAGCGUAGGCGGUUCGGUAAGCCCUCUGUGAAAUCUCCAGGCUUAACCUGGAACAGUCGGAGGGGACUGCUGGGCUAGAGGACGGGAGAGGAGCGCGGAAUUCCCGGUGUAGCGGUGAAAUGCGUAGAGAUCGGGAGGAAGGCCGGUGGCGAAGGCGGCGCUCUGGAACGUUUCUGACGCUGAGGCUCGAAAGCGUGGGGAGCAAACAGGAUUAGAUACCCUGGUAGUCCACGCCUUAAACUAUGAAUACUAAGUGUCGGCGGGUUACCGCCGGUGCCGCAGCUAACGCAUUAAGUAUUCCGCCUGGGAAGUACGGCCGCAAGGUUGAAACUCAAAUGAAUUGACGGGG